Long non-coding RNA from Brachypodium distachyon (stiff brome), 744 nucleotides. RefSeq lists it as uncharacterized. The record is from RefSeq and is a predicted model, not a curated record. The transcript is spliced from 3 exons. NCBI's taxonomy places the organism in Eukaryota, Viridiplantae, Streptophyta, Magnoliopsida, Poales, Poaceae.
AUCACUCCUCUAUAAAUAAAGCCUUCCCUUCUUUGGCAGCUACUUUUCUCUUGCCACUUAGAUCUCUAAGAAAUUGAAGAGCAAACAUGGCUCCCAUGCCACCCUUGGUUUUGUCUGUCGAAUCCUUGGUUCUCAGUGCUUCAUCUUCAUCUUCAGUCAACGGACGAUCUCCGGAUCAUUUUCAGGUUAUUUCUGGGGAUUUCAAUUCCGAAGAUGAGGACGGUUAUGCUGCUGAUUUUGAAGAGUCCAUGAAUCACUGGAAGAGGAGAUAGGAUUUGAAUCGGGACUGGAGGAGGAAUCAGAACCUGAGCAGGAGUUCGAGGGAAAUAUUGUUCUUCCUGUGGUUGCUCCGCGUUUUGUGAUUGUGCAGGAAGAAGAAGCUGUCUUAGGAGAUAACUUCGCAUAUGUGGCGAAUGCAAAUCUUCGUGAAGAUGCGGAUGAAGGGAAGCAUAUGUACCACAUGUUGGAUGAAGGUUCUAGCUCCGAACGUCCAGCCACUGUUCAGCCCAAACGCAAAGAUGAUGCCCUGGUUGAAGAUGGAGUGGACAAGAAGAGGAGGAAGAUGGAGUAGUUUGCCUUUACAUGGAUCGUGAAUUUUGUUCUGUUCUUAACAUGUACCUGUGAAGUAAGGUUUCGACUAUUAUGUACCUACACGUACAAAGAUAUUUUGGAUGUGGUUAACUGAUCGUUGUACUGCAUGAUCUAUAUGUACGAAACAGCAGAAUUUUAUAAUUUUGGAUCAAA